This is a long non-coding RNA of Orcinus orca (killer whale), 2198 nucleotides long. RefSeq lists it as uncharacterized. The record is from RefSeq and is a predicted model, not a curated record. The transcript has 3 exons. NCBI's taxonomy places the organism in Eukaryota, Metazoa, Chordata, Mammalia, Artiodactyla, Delphinidae.
AGAAGAUUUAAGUUGGUUUGAAGAAGUAAAAUUCCUCCUUGAGCUCAUGAGCAGAGCCAUGGAAACCUGAAGACUUCCCCCUGGGGCUCUGGGGGGCUUCUAACCAGAGAGGUGUCCUGGGGUCGCACCUGUUGGCGCAUGUGUGUGCUUGCAUGGACAGGUCCUGCCCCCCUUUCCUCACACACAUACACCUGAUCAUGCGCUCCAGUGGAACACAGCUUGUUUGGAUAUAAGAUGAAAACUCUGCAGAAGCUGUUAUUUUUAGAAGGCUGCUUAUCUCUCCAGAAUGCCAAUUUUGGCUUGUCAUUCAUCUCAGAGCAAGCAUGGUGCAUACCCAGGGCAAAGCACCCUGUUUUGUGUUUGAAGCAACCUGCAUCUUCAGUGAAGCUCAGGACGUGGCCGACACUGGCAAACUACCUGAACUGACAGCACCCACAUCCCGAUUCAGACCAACUCAAUGUGCAUUUAGAGAGUGCCUACUGCGUGCAGGAUCUUCGCUCCGAUCAUUGAGUUCUGUGAUUAAGUCAUACAUGACGUUCUGCAUCUGUUUGGAGAGACAGGGAGACGACAGGUCAUUGCAGAGGAAUCUGCAAUGGGAAAAAUGAAAUACUCCUCCAGAUUACACUUGAAAUACAACUCCUCCAGGGAUCAACUUCCACACCGGCCGUGUCGGGUCUGGCCAAGGACAGAGAAACAGUUUACUUUCUUGAAGACUUGGAGGCUCAAAUGGCACAGUGGGUUUUUGUGUGUGUGUGUUUUUGUCUGAUUACAAAAAUAAUGUAUAUUACUUAUAAAAAUAGAUUAGAAAAUAUAUAGACUGGAAAGGCAGCGCUUUCUUCCUCAAUAGAACAAGUCCCUGAAGUGUCCUCAUGUUCUUACUUCGUCCAACCUCUCAGCUCAUAGGGCAAUGGCACCUACUGAUGAAAGAGACGGCUCUGUGGUGGGGAGCGGACAAUGCAAUAGACUUAGCAUUGGUAGGCCAGGGUUCAAGUACACGUCUGCCACUCACUAAUAAUGUGCCUUCCCUCAUGCCCCUUAACCUCUCUGCUUGGUUGCCUUAUGAAAUAGGAGUUAAUAAUAACAACACAUAGUUAUAGAGCUGUUGCUCCCCCCCUGCCGCCCCAACUUUCAACACAGCAGGCAGAAUGUACAACGUACAACGUAACUCACUCAGGACUGGGCUGUAGUGAAAGGGAGCUGCCUCGCUGAGGUUACAGCCCCUCUCCUGCCUGGUCAAUGAGGAGGGACAUUGCCUCUAUUUGGGACACCCCUGAAGGGCCAGUCCACCUCCGGAACUCCCGUGGGUUGGUCGAGGCCUUUGUCAGUCAAUCGUAUCACAGUGCAGACUCUCCCUCUGCCCCAUCCUGCUUCCCUCGCUCCCCAGCAGGUGCUGUCCUGAUGGUGUCCCCAGUAAACCUCCUGCUCUCGGUGCCAUCUCCCAGUGUCCCAGGGACCCGCCCUGUCACCACUGCUCACUCCCCACACAUCCCAUGGCCGACAGCCUCACCUCCUCUCAGCCUCCCCUUAAAAAUCAUCUCCCCCCACUGCCCUUGUUAACAUGGCACUUUGGUCCCACCCCUACCCCUGAUCCCGCUAACCCUGCUCAACUCUUUUCUUUUCUUCAUGCCACCUUCUAAUAAACUAACUAAUUUGCUAUUUCUUCUGUUUAUUAUUGUCUGUUUUCUCCCCUCCAGGGCGGGGACUUUCGCCUGUUGUGUUCACGGAUGUGUCCCAAGGGCUUAAAACAGCAUCUGGCACCCAGGGGAUGCUCAACUAACAUUUUUUGAUGGACAAGUGUACAUAAACAUGCCUAGCAAGGGGGUCUGUCCCACGUGGUCGGCACUAAAAGACGUUGGUAGAACUAAUGAAUGAAUAAAGUGCUGGCACAGGGGAAAAUCACCGUCCCUUCCAUCCUUUGGCCAAUGUAGGAGUUUAACUGAUGGGAAAAGACCUUUUGCGCCACAAAUUAUUUCCAUAUACCUAGAGAGUUUCUCAGCAUUUCCCACCGAGACCUGAGUGGCUGAAGGAAAGGAGAGAAGACUCCCGAGGGGGCCCAGCCCAGGGCCUGCCUCUGGAGAGCAGGUGUUCCGUAAGCUUUUGUGAAUGAACAUUGAACAAGGUCGUGAGAGCAGGGGAGCAAAAAUGCGGUACCUCCAGGGAACUGCCAAUAAAAUAAAACUUUAAUGUAAUAAAAUAAA